This 26127-nucleotide long non-coding RNA is filed under the name Brassica napus (rape). Its description in RNAcentral is "long non-coding RNA (BNAP_LNC026701)". Lineage: Eukaryota; Viridiplantae; Streptophyta; Magnoliopsida; Brassicales; Brassicaceae. The record is from RNAcentral.
AGUUUAAUAGCUACAGGAGACGAUUGUAUCUCAGUCGGUCGUGGUUCCACCAAUGUAACCGUCGAGCGCGUGACUUGUGGCCCAGGACACGGCCUAAGUGUCGGUAGUCUUGGUAAGUACCCGAACGAGGAGAAUGUUGCCGGCAUUCACUUUAAGAAGUGCACCAUGAAAGAUACUGACAAUGGUCUUAGAAUCAAGAGUUGGGGUGGUUCGUCUCCAAGCACGGCUGUGGACAUCACGUUUGAAGAUAUUAUGAUGACAAACGUCAAGAACCCAAUCAUCAUUGACCAAAAUUACGGCUCAAGAGGCGGAGUAAGAUAUACCCGUGGAAAUUUCAAACCAAAACUUCACUUGAUCAUUCAGCAGUUUACGAAAAUAAACUUUUUGUGUGUGUUUGUAGGAUUCAAAAGUUGCGAUAAGCAAUGUGCUGUUCAAGAACGUAAGAGGAACAACAAUUACAAAAGACGAAGUUCAGAUCAUGUGCAGCAAAUCAGUACCGUGCAAAGGAGUCAGCGUCGUUGACGUGGAAUUGAACUUUGUAGGUGACAAAGGAGGACAUCCCUCGGCGUCAGGAGGUUUGGUCGGAGCUCUUUGUGACAACGCCAAUGUUAUCUUCGGUGGAAAACUUAGCUUCCCUCUGUGUCCCAAAUAAGCUUUUUGGUAAAUUUGAUGUUGAAAACAAGUAAAAAAUUUCAACAAACAUUUCGUUGUUUUGUUUGUGAGUUAGUUUGUAAGUUUAUCAACAAUAAUUGGAUUAUAUGACUUUUUGAUAUUUUUUUCUAUGACUAUAAUUUCUUUUUGUGGUAAUAAUAUAAUAAACAGACCCUUCAAUUGAUUGCUUGAAAUUUUCUGGUCAUAACUUUGGUCUGUGAUGAGUUUAGUGUAUAGUUGUAUACAACCAUUUCACAUUAAACUAUAUUUAAAAGCUCGGAUCAAAGGAACAAAAUAAAAUUAGAACAUCAGCUAUCUGUCGCCUGAAAGCUUGCUUUGUUUCUUAAAUUUAGCUUAACUUUAUUAGUAACAAGCAUAUAAAUGGUCAAGCUAACUGAGAGUAUCGUUGUCUCCAGUGUCCACCAUCUCAAGAACUUCUUCAAUGAUAUUAUUACAAGGCUGAGAACAAAAACUUUCCACCCUCUUAAAUUCAUUAAUUUGAAAACGUAUACGAAUCCUCCAUUCCCUUUUACAAACUACACCUAGAAGGCGUUGAUGUGUCCAGUCCAGUGAUUUACAUUUUUCCUAGUAUUCAAAUGAGGCCCAUGCAAUUCUAGUGAUAGGCUCUAUAGAAACAUGAUGAUCCUAUUUGGUCAAAUACCUGGCGACAAAUUCCUAUGUGCUUUGAUAACAAACAGUAUGUCUGAAGUUUGAACAAGUUCCUGGAUUCUCUUACGUACAAAUAAUUAGUUAGCUUGUUUAUAUUCUCUUCCACAUAAAAUCAACAACAAUUAGUCUGGGAAAAGUAUUUUUUUAGACCCCAACAAUUGCGUCAUGCCUUUUUAGACCCAAACAAAACAUAAGUGCGAAAUCAUUCAUAAACUGAGAUUUUUAAAACCAUUUAAACCCAAACUUGACUAUAUAACAUGAAAUUCUAUCUUGACUAACUUCAACUGUUAAACCAUGCUUAGUCGGAUAAGGAAAAAGUGUUGAUUUCAACCCGUACAAUUUUGGCCGUGCCUUUUCAGACUUGGACAAUGAAUAAGUGCGAUUUCAUACCCAAACUAAAUAGUAAUUUGAUUUUCUUAUUCAAACUUUAAUAUUAACAUAAAAAACUACUUUGACUAACUUUUGGUUAGUCAAUCGAAGUCGUUUUAACUAAACUAAUUAAAAAAACACACUAUGACUCAAACACAUGCCUAGAGAAGCACUAAACUGAGCAUUAAACCACUUGACUAAGACAAGUUUUGUAAAAUAUACAUAUAUACUAAAUUAUAUAGGUACCAAAACAGGUAAAGAAAUCACUAACUUCUUCUCUCUCUGGCUCUCUCUCUCUCAGUUGCCAAUUUCAGAAGUUUCAGUCUUUAGGAAGUUUUAUUUUUGAUAGUAAUGAACAUUUUAAAAUCGCAUGAGAAAGAAAUGUUGGGAGCCAAAAAGAGUAGCUCCGGCUACAACUCGUAGACAAGAGCGGAGAUUAGUUUCUUCAUUUAAAAAUGAAUUAGCAUGAACCGGGGCAUUACCGACUUGAUGGCAAAGUGUUCGUUUAAUUCACUUGCCUAUCGUGGGUUCGGCCCUCCAAGUGACGGAAUUUUAUUAUUUUAGCUAAAACGACGUCGUUUUAACUCUCCUCGACACGUCAUCUCUGUCUAGACACUGACUCGCUCAAAAAUAACGGUUGACUAACCAAACAUUAGUCAGAGUAAUUUUCUUUGAAAUUCAAACUAUCGUUCAGUUCGGGUAUAAAAUUCAAAAUAUUGUUCAGUUUGGGUAUGAAAUCGCACUUACUUAUUGUUCAGGUCUAAAAAGGCAUGACCAAAAUUGUACGGGUUGAAAUCGACACUUUUCCUUUAUCCGACUAAGCAUGGUUUUACGGUUGACGUAGGAUUUUAUGUUACGGAGUCAAGUUUGGGUCGAAAUAUUUUUAAAAAUCUCAGUUCAGGAAUGAUUUCGCACUUAUGUUUUGUUUGGAUAAAAAUGCACGACGCAAAUUGUUGGGGUCUAAAAUGACCCUUUUCCCCAAUUAGUCAUGCCAUCGUUUCUCUUAGACACGAAAACAAACUCAGAAGAAGUAUUCCGAGAAUCAAAUACUGUCAGAAAAAUAUUGAUAGAUUGCUGAGAAUUUUCUUGUGGAGUUUCCAAUAUCCUAGUAAAAAAAGGAAUAUGGAAAAGGGCAUAAACUUUCGAGUGCACUAGGGAAAUAAAUUGAUGUCGUGUAUAAAUAAUGCCCUUGCUUAAAUGAAUUCUCCCAAAACAUUCAUCAUGGAAAAAGAUAAGAAGAGACUCCAAUAGCAUCCACGAUCCGAAGCGUCGUGAUUCAGAUCAAUAUCUCAUCACGAAGGAAGUAAGGAAGGAGAUAGAAGAGAGGAAAAAGAGGAAAGACAGAGAGCAAAGAGAAUGGGGCUAGGGAAGGAAUCAAGAAACCUAAGUGUUGUGACGGAAGCGAUAAGAACAGACAGACGCGGAACGCACAGAUGGAUACACGCAAUAAAUGAAAAGAACACAAGAUUUAACUGGUUUACCAAUAGGUUAUUUCCACUGAUAAAGAGACACUUUUAUUAAUAAAGUAUUUACAGAAAUCUGUCUAGAAUAAGAUUGCUCUCUAUUUCAGCUGUUAAUUAAGUUUAUAAGAGGCACAAGAUAUAUAUAGUGGUAUCUUAUCUCCUAGAAACCCUAGCACUAAAGUCCAAACAGAUUCGGAUUUUGUAGAGCAUCAAAAUGCAAGAUGCACAUUUUAUGAAGUGGACAUUUCAGUGCUUUAGGUAACUCAGAUUUCCCUACAACUCUAAAGUACCGAAGACAUGUUUCUGAAGUGAGCAUUUCAGCGCUGUAGGUGAAAUGCAUAUUCAAGGCAUUACAACAAAUCUUCACCUUGACUUAAAUCUUCCAAAAACCAAUGUACCAGAAGCAUUAUCAGCAGUGCCAGAUGUACUAGACUCUCUCUUUUCUUCAGACGUUCUUUCGGAUCAGAUGUCCUAGCGGAACAGAUGAUAUGAUGAACCAGAUGCCCUUCAGGACUAGACGCUCAACUAGAGCCAGACGUUCUUCAUCAGCUAGAUGUCCUUUAGAACCAGAUGCUAUGAUGAACCAGAUGCCCUUUAGGGCCAGACGCUCAACUAGAGCCAGACGUUCUUCAUCAGCCAGAUGUCCUUUAGGACCAGAUGCCCUCUUGGGGCUAGAUUCCCACUCGGGACUAGAUUAACAGAUCGAGAUGUUUAACAAAUCCAAAAAAUGUUUGAACUUGCUGUGAGUAACCGACUUAGUGAACAUAUCGGUGGAAUUAUCAGUAGUUCCCACUUUCUUCACUUGACUCUUCUUCUCAUCUUGCAAAAAGUGAUACCUCACAUCAAUAUGCUUGGUUCUAUGAACCUGAUCCUUGGCUAGACAGAUAACACUCAAGCUAUCACAAUACACUGUAGCCUGAUCAUGAUGUAAAUCAUUUACCAGUCCUCUUAACCAUAAUCCUUCCUUAGCAGCUUAUGUCAAAGCCAUAUACUCUGCCUCAGUAGUAGACAAAGUCACUGUUGACUGCGUCGCCUUCCAACUAACCACAGAACUACCCAAAGCAAAUACGUAGCUGGUCACAUAUCAUAUGCUGUCCACAUCGCUUGCAUAAUCAGAAUCAGAAUAGCCUGCAACCAGGCCCGGAUUCCCACCUCCAUAGACGAGACCAACAUCAGAUGUACCUUUCAGGUACUGGAGAAUUCUCUUCACAGCAGUCCAGUGUUCUUUUCCUGGUUGUCGCAUAAGCCUGCUGACAACACUGACUACUUGUGCAAGAUCUGAUCUUGUACAUACCAUAUCAUACAUCAAACUUCCUACAACGUUUGCAUAAGGAACCCAUGACAUAUACUCCAUCUCCUCUUAAGACUGAGCACCAUAUAUGGUAAGAUGGCGCUCAGUGUGUUGAGGCUUCGCAGAAGAUAUCCCAAAUCUUGCCAGCACCUUAUUAAUAUAUGCUUCUUUUUAUUAAAAUAACUUCUUCUUUUCCCUAUCUCUGAAGAUCUCCAUCCCUAAGAUCUUCUUUGUUGCACCCAAAUCUUUCAUUUCAAAUUCAGAGCCCAACAACUCUACCAGCUUCAGAAUGCAUGUCACACAUGUUCUUAGUAGCUAUCAACAUGUCAUCCACAUAGAACACCCGAUAGAUGAAAGACUCAUCUUCCAACUUGCUCAUAUAGACACACCAAUCAUAAGGACUUCGGUUAUAGUCCAACUUGAUCAUAAACCUGUUGAACCUCUUGUACCACUGUCUGGGAGGUUGCUUAAGUCCAUAAAAGGACUUUUUCGACCUGCAAACUUGGUCUUCCUUUCCAGGAAUUUGGAAACCCUCUGGCUGAGCAUAUAUAUCUCUUCUUCCAACUAUAUAUGAAAGAAAGCAACUUUCACAUCAAGUUGCUCAAGCUCCAAAUCCUGACGCGCCACUAUUGCUAGCAACACUCUGAUGGAAGUAUGUCUGACCACUGGUGAGAAUAUCUCAUUGUAGUCUACUCUCUCUCUCUGACUAAAGCAUAUUUUAACAAUUCGAGCCUUAUACUUAACUCCUUCUACCGGUGUAACUCCAUCCUUGAUCUUGUAGACCCACUUACAAGUAACCACCUUUCUCUCUGAUAGUAAUGUAACCAGAUCCCAUGUAUGAUUCUUCUCAUGAGACUCCAUUUCGUCUCCUAUUGCAAUAUGCCAUUUCUCAGAUUCAGGACUAGAAACAACUUUUCUGUAAGUGGAUGGCUCAUAAGUAUCCACUUCCUCUGCAACCUGUAAUGCAUAACCCACCAUAACCUCAAAACAAUAUCUCUUUGGUGGUCUGACGUCGACCCUUCUUGGUCGAUCCUUAGCAAAGCUAAGUCUUGUAACCUCAGAUGGUUGAGCUUCCAUCUGAACAUCUCCUGCUUGCUCGUCCUGAUUUUCUGUAUGGUGCUGCAGAUCAACCACUUUAUUAUCAUUCUGCAGCUCCACCUGUUUAUCAGUGCUACCCUUAUAUGCUUCAAAACUGGACUCUGCUUGGCUUUUAAUCAUGGAACAUUGAUUAAAGAAAAUGUUACAGCUUAAAACCACUCGGUUUUCUGAUGGAGACUAUACCCUGUAUCCCUUGACUCCAUCACCGUAGCCCAUAAAUACUCCCUUCUUUGCUCUCAGCUCAAGUUUACCAUCGUUCACAUGAUAGUAAACAGUGCAACCAAAGGCUCUCAGAAUUGAGUAAUCAGCAUAUUUACCUGACCACACCUUAGAAGGUAUUUUGCACUCGAUGCCUAUGUGGGAACGAAGAUUAAUCAAGUAGCAAGUUGUAUUCACAGCUUCACCCCAAAACCAUUUCGCUAAUCCUGAAUUUGAGAGCAUGCACCUCGCUCUCUCAGCAAUAUCUGAUUCAUCCGUUCAGCUACACCAUUAUGCUGUGGUGUUUCCCUGACUGUAAGAUGCCUAGCAAUCCCUGCAUCCUUACAAAACUGAUUGAACUUCUUUCAUGUUUGAUUCUCCACCAGCGCUUUUCGUUCCUUGAACUGAUCGAAAGCUUCACUUUUGUGCUUCAUGAAGAAUAUCCAAGUCUUCCUCUAAUAGUCAUCAAUCAUAGACACAAAAUAUUGUGACCUUUCAGCAACUCCACUCUGGAGGACCCCAACAAUCCGCAUGGAUGUAAUUCAAUGUGCCUUUUUCCCUAUGAAUCGUCUUAGGAAAACUCUUCUUGUGUAGUUUCCCAAAAACACAGUGCUUAGAAAACUCUAGAUUCUUGGUUUUGUGACCACAUAGAAGAUAUUUCUUUGACAGAAUUUGCAUCCCACGUUCAUUCAUAUGCUCAAGCCUAAUAAGCCAUAGAUUAGUCGUAUCUUCUUUGCGAACCUCUGGUGAUGCAACCAUUUGCUGUACUAGUCAUAAGCCAUAGAUUAGUCGUAUCUUCUUUGCGAACCUCUAGUGAUGCAAACAUUUGCUGAACUAGUCACUGUAGAACCCUUCAACAAAUACAGAGUACCAUGCAUGAAACCCUUCAAGAUCACAUCUAAACCUCUGUAGACAUUUAGAGCUCCAUCUCCAGCUGAAUACUUGAAACCUUUACUGUCCAACAGACUCAUUGAUAUCAAGUUCUUCGUCAUUGACGAAACAUGCAUGACUUCGUUCAAUGUGAAGAAUCUACCAUCAUGUGUCUUGAGCUUGAUCGAGCCGAUCCCAACAAUCUUGCAGAUAAAAUCAUUUGUCAUCUUAAUAUUGCCGUCAGGUACCUCAACGUACUCUGCAAACAAAUCUCUCAUUCAUGCAUUCUUAGAGCAAAAAGACAUUGCUUCAGAAGUAGCUUGUUCUUUAGAGACUUUGUCAUGUACAAGCUCUCUAACUUCUACCAUAACCUAGCAGCCAAUUUCUCAUCCUAAACUUUGACAAUAAUUUCGUCUGCUAGACAAAACAAGAUUGUUGAGAACACCUUCUUUUCCAGAACUUCCAUUUCAGCAUAAUCAGUCUUCUUUCCUGACAAAGGUGUCAAGAUGCCUUGUUUCUUUAACAAAGCUUGCAUCUUUAUCUGCCAGAGAUUGAAACUUGUCGAUUUUCGCGUUUAUCCCAAACAUCUUUUCACGAGAUUACAAACCUGAGGCUCUGAUACCAGUUUGUUGCGACGGAUGCGAGAAGAGAAGAUGUGGAACACAUAGAUAGGUAAACGCAAUAAACGAAAAGAACACAAGAUUUAAUGUGCUUCACCAAUAGGCUACCUCCACGGGCAAAGAUAGAUUUUUAUUAAUGAAAUAUUUACAUAAAUCUAUCUAAAAGAAGAACUUAUGAGAUUGCUCUUUAUUUCAGCUGCUACUUAUGUUUAGAGGAAAAACAAGAUAUAUAUAAUGGUGAAGACAUGUUUUCUGAAGUGGACACUUUAGUGCCCUAGGUAACUCAGAUUUCCAUAUAACUCCAAAAUGCUGAAAAAAAGUUUUUGACGUGGACACUUCAGCGCUUUAGGUAAAAAGCAGAUUCAAAGCAUUACAACACUAAAUUUUAUGGUGGCCACGAGGAGGAGCAAGUUUGAAGAUGUGCCUAUGGAGUUUGAUAAGAACAACGCUCAAGUUAGUUAGACACGUUCUGUUUCUAAUGCAUCGGAAACUUCUAGUCAAAUUUUUGAAGCUGUUAAGCGAGCUUAGGAGCUGGCUGCUCAGAUGAAACCACAGAAAGCUGUUGCAGUGGCUCAGAAACCGAGCAAAAUCCAGAAGUGUGGAUGCACUUGGAAGAGAGAUAGAUAAACACGGUGGUUAGUGUGACUAAAUCUAGUGGUCUUACUACAUUGUGUUGGGACACAGUUUCUGAAAAGUGAGUGUUUUGACUUUUCCGGCCAAACCGGCAGUGGUCGUUAUCAGAUUAUUGGCUCAUUGUAAAGUUUGUAACGAGCACUACAAUCUGGUAUAUUCAUACAUCAAAAGCAGAGUUAAAUUAAAUGAUAAAUGAAUUGAUGAAGUUGGUAACUUGGUGUUAUCAAAACUCUGUAAUUUGCCUAGGUGUUAAUAUAACACUAAAGUCCCUACAUAGGGGAAGGCAAAACUUUCAGAGGUGUAUAAAUAUGCAUACACAUAUAAGUUUGUUCAAAAUAGUUUUCCAUUUUUUUUUUGCGGAUCACGUUUUAAUUUGAGUAAAAUCUAAAAGUAAAAAAAAAAAAAAAAUCUAAAAGUAGCACACAAACGAACCUAUAAAACAUCAUGAAUCCUCCAAUGAUCAAAUCACUUUAAAUUUGUCAACACAUUUUUAAAAGAAAAAAAAAAGAACAAAAAAAAAAAAAAUAUUACCACCAUGGCUAGCGCGAGAAGUUUGGUUGCCAAGGCAAAUAAUACUAAUGUAGGCUCAUUAAUCUUAAUGACCGUGGUGUUAGGUUCUUGUAUAGCUAAUGGUGAAUAUCUCGGUGCCCGCCGUGGCCUUGCCGCUGUUGCCGGAAACCCUACGGUCUUUGAUAUUACUAAGAAUGGAGCAGUGGGAAAUGGUGCCACCGAUUCUUCCAAGGUGAUAUUUCUUUAAUUUUAUGGAAUUAGCUUGAGUUUCGCUUCAUAAUUUAAGUUACUGUUAUUAUUAGUAAAAUACACAUGACAAGAAACAUUUAUCCAAUAAUAAAUGGUUUCUUAAAAAUAAUAAUAAUAAUAAAAAAAAUAAAAUAAAAAUAACAAAAAAUAUAAUAAAUGGUUUCUUUCUUCUAAAAAAUUUGUACGACAGGCGUUUCUAAACACAUGGCUCCAAGUGUGUGCCAGUCCUGUACCAGCAACGCUACUAGUCCCUAAAGGAGAUUUCUUGGCUGGUCCAGUAAUUUUUGCUGGUCCAUGCAAGAGCAAAGUGACCGUCGAAGUUCAGGGCACAAUCAUCGCUCCACCAAGCGGAUACCCGACUCCUGAAUGGUUCUUAUUCGAACAUGUCGAUAAUGUCGUCCUCACCGGACCCGGCACAUUCCACGGCAAAGGUGAAGCCGUUUGGAAAGCAGAUGGCUGUGGUAAAAAGGUGGACUGCAAUCUUCCUCCAACGGUAAGAUUUAAGUUAAUAAUAAUAUUAUUAACUAAUACUUUUGUACUGAUCAGACUUACACCUGCAUGCAGUCUCUAAAAUUCAGAAACAUCUUAAACCUUGACAUUUCCGGCAUUAGCUCGGUCAACGCAAAGGCCUUCCACAUGUUCUUGGUAAAAACUACAAAUGUCAACGUCCAAAACAUCAAGAUUACUGCCCCUGCUGAAAGUCCCAACACCGAUGGUAUCCAUUUGAGCAAUGCGGUCAACGUUCACAUCGUUGACAGUUUAAUAGCUACAGGAGACGAUUGUAUCUCAGUCGGUCGUGGUUCCACCAAUGUAACCGUCGAGCGCGUGACUUGUGGCCCAGGACACGGCCUAAGUGUCGGUAGUCUUGGUAAGUACCCGAACGAGGAGAAUGUUGCCGGCAUUCACUUUAAGAAGUGCACCAUGAAAGAUACUGACAAUGGUCUUAGAAUCAAGAGUUGGGGUGGUUCGUCUCCAAGCACGGCUGUGGACAUCACGUUUGAAGAUAUUAUGAUGACAAACGUCAAGAACCCAAUCAUCAUUGACCAAAAUUACGGCUCAAGAGGCGGAGUAAGAUAUACCCGUGGAAAUUUCAAACCAAAACUUCACUUGAUCAUUCAGCAGUUUACGAAAAUAAACUUUUUGUGUGUGUUUGUAGGAUUCAAAAGUUGCGAUAAGCAAUGUGCUGUUCAAGAACGUAAGAGGAACAACAAUUACAAAAGACGAAGUUCAGAUCAUGUGCAGCAAAUCAGUACCGUGCAAAGGAGUCAGCGUCGUUGACGUGGAAUUGAACUUUGUAGGUGACAAAGGAGGACAUCCCUCGGCGUCAGGAGGUUUGGUCGGAGCUCUUUGUGACAACGCCAAUGUUAUCUUCGGUGGAAAACUUAGCUUCCCUAUGUGUCCCAAAUAAGCUUUUUGGUAAAUUUGAUGUUGAAAACAAGUAAAAAAUUUCAACAAACAUUUCGUUGUUUUGUUUGUGAGUUAGUUUGUAAGUUUAUCAACAAUAAUUGGAAUGUAUUGUUGUGAAUUAGAUGAGAUAAAGAGAUAUUUAUGUGUAUUUAUAAGUGUUAAUAUAUUAGUAUAUUGUUCUUUAUGUGUUUGGAAAGUAACGAAAGAAAUGUGAGAUAAUGAGCACAAAUGACUUUGAUCUCUUGCUCUUAUUUUUAUUUUUUGAAUUAUACAGAGGUAUCCUGGUCCUACAGAAGUGAUCCAAACUAGUCACAUGUUGUCACGUGUCGGUCUUCUGUCCCUGGCAAUGCCGAAAUGUUAAUUCCCCAGUGGCCGGAAUUCGAACCCAGGUGGCGGAUCUCUUGCUCUUAUUACUAUCACUUACAACAACAAAUCAACUCCUAUUUAUAGAAGUAGUAAGUCGGUAAAGUACACCGACGUAAGAAGAAAACAAAUAUUUAUAUAGUAAGCUAAUGGAUAAUCACAAUCCAAAAUCAACCUUAUCUUUUUGGAUCAUUAUCUUUAACACUUCCUCUUGAUUAUCCAUUUUUAUAUUACGUAGUGCCUCGUUAAAAACCUAGUCAUGGAAAAACCCUUUGGGACAAAAACCAUGACAAGGGAAAAAAAGUACACUGCCGUACUCUCCCCCUGAAAAUAGUGGACCUAGUUUUCUCGUCACAGGUCACGCAAAUGCCGCAUUCCGAUACCAUAAACGUGUUUUCGGAAUGUUGUAGUUGGAAGAGCUUUGGUGAACAAGUCAGCCGGAUUUUCGCAUGACCGUACAUAUUCGAUGUCCACCUCUUUAAUUAUCUCGUGCUCCUUUAUGUACGAGAAAAAUCUUGGAGGGAUGUGCUUUGUUCUAUCACUCUUAAUGUAGCCUUCUUUAAGAUGAGCGACACACGCCGAAUUGUCUUCAAAUAUUUUCGUCGACUCUUUUUCAUUGACUAUUCCGCUUGAUUCUUGUAUGUGGUGACUCAUUGACCGAAGUCACACACAUUCUCGACAUGCUUCGUGAAGCACAAUAGUUUCUGCAUGAUUCAAAGAUGUCGCAACCAGAGUUUGUUUCUGGGACCGCCAAGCGAUCGCGGUUCCACCAAUUGUAAAAACAUAGCCAGUUUGCGAUCGAGCCUUAUGAGGAUCUGAUAAGUAUCCUGCAUCUGCAAAACCAACAAUACCAAACUCGGGUUUUCUAAAAUAUAUUAACCCUAAAUCAAAUGUACCUUGGAGAGAACGGAUAUGUUCUCGACGCCAUUCUAAUUUCCAUAAAUAGGAAAUGAGCUAUGUCUCGCAAAUACAUUAGUGUCUAAAAGUAUAUUUAAUCAAAUACAACUCGCAAGACAUAUAAGCUCACAUAUACUUUAUUACCAUUAGCAUCUCCAAAGUACUUAUUUAUAUAAGAUCUUACCGGGAUCUCUUAAAACAACAUCUCUUUUAACAUCGAAAGAUCUAUUUACCAUUGGAGUACUCAAAAGAGUCACUUUUGUCCAUAUAAAAGUGUUUCAAUAACCUAAUCGUAUAGUUUGAUUGAUACACAAAUAUUCCUUCUCCGAGAUGCUCUGUCUGGAGCCCCCAAGACAAACUUUGUCUUGCCGAGAUCUUUCAUUUCGAACUCUUCUCCUCUUUGAUUCGUAGGGGACCAAAGUGUAACAACAACUGUGUACACCAUGUAAUCUCUUUAGGAAUUCCUUUAAUUCGAUCACAAAGCCAAAUGACGAUUUCUUUAUAAAAACGCAUGGACAUAUCGCAUUAUUCACAUAUCCUUUACUCAAAAGAUAUUGACUUAAGCGAUUGUACCACAUGCGUCCGGAUUGCGUUAAUCCGUAAAUUGAUCGCUGUAACUUGACCGAACAAAUCUCCAUGGAUUUUUCUUUCAAUGCCCCUAGCAUUUUCAAUCCCUCAGGGAGUUUUAUACAUAUAUCAUUAUCCAACGGUCCAUACAAAUAUGCAGCCAAAACGUCCAUGAGAUGCAUUUCAAGAUUUUUAGACGCCAUUAGGCUCAUCAAAAAUCUAAACAUAAUUGCAUCCAUUACUGGGGAAUAUGUUUCUUCAAAAUCAAUUCCCGGUCUCUGAGAAAAACCUUGGGCAACUAAUCAGGCUUUAUAUCGUGUUACUUUUCACACGAAUACCCACUUAUACCCAAUAGGAUUUAUAUUCUCAGGCAUUAUGACUAUAAGUCCAAAAACAUUCCAAAAUGGACUUUGGAUCGGGAUCAUCCCCCUCAUACAUAGAGGUAGAUUCAUAAUCCUUAUUUAUAUAGCGCGCUUUCAUUUUAUUGUCGACAGUCUAUUUUCUCUUUGGUUUCAUCUUUUUAUUCGUACUAAUAUGAUUAAUCGAAAUCUCUUUAUCAUCAUCGAUGAUUUACCCAGGUACAUGACUGUAAUAUUAACCAUAUCAACAGUCUCUUCACUACUUUUCAUCAAGGGCGUAGUUGAUGGAAAUCUCAUACUUUUUUCUGUACCCUUCUCGUCAUCUGGAUCCAUAUCUUUAUUUGGUGCUUCUUGAACCUUUUCAUCUGUGCCUUCUUUCAAACAUUUUCAGUAUCAGAUUCUUCUGGAACCUUUCCACUUAUGCCUUUUUUCAGACAUCUUUAGGAUUGUUUAUGUCUUUAUUACAUGCACAACUGCAUGUUUACACCCGAUCAUGGGGACCAUCUUACUUGAAUUUACUUUAUCAAGUUCUUUUUUCAAGUGCGAACAUAAUUGCGAACCCUAGGCUCAUUCAUUUUGUUACCAUCAGUUUGUUCUUUAGAAACAUCAACUAUUGAUGGAACAUUUUCAGCGGGUAUAUCAUGUUGUAUCUGUGAACUUGAAUUUACUUUAUCAAGUUCUUUUUUCAAGUGCGAACAUAAUUGCUCAAUGUUCCACUCACUAGGAUUCUUUAAUUCUCCCCCUCGAGAUGAUGACACUCCAUGUCUAAAAUCUUGUACUGAAUCCCACUCUAGAACCAAUAACAUAUUCAGUUUUCCCAUUUUGGGAUGAAUUAUGUUUCAAAUCCUUUAGAGUGAGAUCUUAAUUUGGGGUCUGCUUAAAGAAAUCACAUAUAAUGAAAUUGUUUGAUGAUUCAUCACCCAUGUUGGUUUCCUUUAUUUUCUUGACAUGCUAUAUGUGAAAAACUUCUAGUUUUUCAGCAUUUCACAAUAAUGACGAUAACAUUAUUGGAGAUGGCUAUAUAUCAGUAAACUUCAGGUUUACCACUCAUCUAUAAUUUUCCCAUCUUUUUUUUGUACCACUACAAGAAAUAUGCACAUUAUUAGCACACGAUAAACGCUAUGGUAGGACUUUCAUAGCGAAACUUGAAAUGCUAUGUCAUCGGCAGCCAUCAUAGGUAUCCCUCUACGAUAACAUUUAUUUAAAUGCUAUGAAAUGUGCAGAUACGAUAAUAUUUCAGUGAUGUUAUUAACUUAAAUAUAACACUAUUUUUUUGUUACAAAUUGAUUACGAUUUAUAUAUUCGUGCUAUGAUUGAUCUUUCUGCAAUUAACAAAAAUUAAUUAUAAUUCGAAAUAGAAUAAUUUAAUAUUAAAUUGAAAUUUUUUUUAUAUUGAAAUUAAAAUAAAUUUUAUUUAUAUAUUAAAAUUGGUUUACAAAUUAAUCUUGGUUUACAAAACUAACCAGAAAUCAUAACAUAAACUCAGACCACUACAAUUUCUCUAACACGGGUUACACUAAACCAAAUCUAAACCUAAAAAAAAAAAAAACUGCAGCCGCCUCCUCCAUAUCCUUGCCCCUCUUCCAACAGCCAUGAGCCUUGCCUCCUCCAGCCGCCACGAGACUUCCGUCCUCAAGCCGCCAUGGACCUUGCCUCCUCCAGCCACCAUGAACCUUGCCUCCCCAACUAUCUUUACCAAAACAAAACAACAUCAGAUUCAUACUACAGAAACAUAGAGAAGAUGCAAAGAGAUAAAGAGAGAGAGAGAUCAACCGUGGUGGUGGUGGGAGGGCGACCGUGGUGGUGGUGGGCGGGCGAACCUGGUGGUGGUGGGAGGGCGACCCCGGUGGGGGUGAGACGAGGAGGAGACGCGGUGGGAGAGAGAUGGGAGAGAUGAGAGAGGCGUGGAGAGAGAUAGGAGAGAUGAGAGAAACAGUAAGCUUGGAGAGGGAUGGGAGAGAUGAGAAUGAAGGAGAAGAACAUGAAGGCCAGAUCUCUGUAGUGGAGUUGAGAGUGAGAGAGAGAGAGAGAAGAAGAAAAUAAAAAUAAAGAUUAAAAGGAAUAAAUCUUAACCUUUAGAUCUAAGUUAAUCUAACGGUUCAAAAGUGUGAUCCAUGUAUUUUAAUCUGAUUGGCCAGACAAUUUUGUUUCUGUUUUUCUAUUUUUAUUUUUUGUUUUGUCUUUCCAUAUUUGAUAAUUUGUUUUGUAAGUGAUUUUUAUUAGUUAUAUCUUAUUUCAAAAUUAAUAUUUUGUAGUUUAUAAUUUAAGUCUAAAUUUUUAUUUUUUUAACCUAAUAAACUGAUAUUUAAUUUAUGAAUUGAUGUUUAAGUUUGAAAAUAUUAGAUUAAUAUUAACAUUAUGAUUUUGGUCAUCAUUUUUAAAUUUGCAUGUUUAUAAAAAAUCCGAUUUACAAUUCGUUUAUAAAUUUGUAUGUUUGACUCAAAAUUUGAAAAGUUUCAAAUUUAUAUUUUAUGAUUUACAAAAAAAAAAUAUGAUUAAGAGUAAAAUUUAGUUUUAUGAUUUAAGGUGUUGAUGUUGUAAUAUGAGGUUUAGGGUUAAAAUUUAGUGUUUUGGAUUAAGAUUGGAAAAUAAUAGAUUUGAAUACUAGAAGAUUUGUAGUUAAAUAUUUAAUAAUUUAGAUUUGAAGUUUAUAUUUAGAGUAUUGAAUGUUUAGUUUACGUUUGAAGUUAAGAUUUAAGAUAUAGAAUUUGAUUAAAGAUUAAAGAUAUGUGUUUAGGAAAUUAUAGAUUAAGAUUAAAAAGAUUAAAUUUUGAUUUUAAUUUUAAGAUUUGAAGUUAUAGUAUGAAAAGAUUAGAGGUUUAAAGGUUGUCUUUAAAGUUUAGGGUUUAAAACAAUGUUUAGAGUUUAAAACAUGUUUAGAGUUUAGGGGUUCAAAGAGCUUUUCUUAGCAUUAUAAAAAUGAUAUUAUAGGUCUUUUGAUAGCAUUGUUGAAGCCACUUGAAAAAUAUUAGCGCUUAAAUCUAAUAAUUCUCUAAGUGUUGGUGGUAUCUAUAACUUUAUAUUCCCGCUCGCUUAAUUUUUAAAAUAACAUUAAUUAAGUGCUAUUUUAGGUUUCACUCUGCCAUAGCGUUUAUCUAAUGCUAUAAUAUAAUACGAAAAUAUUUAAAUCAUUUACAACAGCAGUUCAGCAAAACGUGUUAUAACAAUGUGCUAUCAAUGUAGAUUUUUUUUGUAGUGUAAUAUUUAAUAAUUUAGAUUUGAAGUUUAUAUUUAGAGUAUUGAAUAUUUAGUUUACGUUUGAAGUUACCUCUAGAGCCAAUAAUAAUUUUUAUAGUAAUAGAUAUUAUACUUACUUAUUUUGAGAGAGGAGAAAUAUUUGUUACCUUUAGUAGUCAUGUACGAUGAUCCAAUAUCUGCCAUGUAUAUCUAUCUCCAUCCUGAAUCUCAAAAUCUUAUUCCGGAAGAUAAUUCUCAUAUCACGUCGAUAUUUUAUUUUCAUUUUCUGGACCAACCAGAAAAUCUGAAUCAUCAAGAUGAGUAUUCAAGCUAUGAAAAAUGGUUCGGGCUCAUAAGAGACGAAGUUUAAUAUACUUCUUUUCUUUUUUUUCUUUUUGAUUCUCGAUACAGAUCGACUAAAUAUUUGGGAAUACAACAAAUACGUACCCAAAAUUCUUUCUUGCCGCAUCUGUAGCAAACCUUUUUUGUUUGCCUUUUAUUACCCGACCACUUUCAUUUUCGUGGAAGUUCUCAUUAUUCUCAUAGGGACGGAAUCUUCUUCCUCGUCCUCUUCCACGACCAUGAUAGCGGUUUCAACCGCAUCUACACCCUCGUCCUUUUCUAAUAGGACCGACUUGAUGGUUUAGUAUAUGAUUUCUAUUUUUUUUUUCAUGGAGGAUUUAAAUCAACUCCAACUAUUUAGUGAAUCCUUUCUUUCAAGGAUUUGAUUAUCAAAUAUCUUCUAAAUCUUUUCUCAUGAUACACCUCAUCUUAUAAACCAUCAUCAAAGUGAUGUAAAAUAUCAUCGCUUUUCUUUUUCUCAUCCGAUAUAGUUUUAACUUAUCGAUGAUUUUUCAAAGCUCAUUUUCUCUCAGGUGUAUCUCUACACCUACUGCCCAGAUCAUAUAAAAAGGCAUUUACUUCGAGCUUUGUCAAAUUUGACAUGAUAACCGUUCUUAUAAAAAAAUAAUAUAAAAUAUAAAGACCGAAAUUUAAAUGCAUAAUUUAAAAGCAUAAAUUAUAUGCAUAAAUUAAAUUGCAGAAAUUUAAAGAGCAAUAAAUAAAAUUGGAGGCUUAGCCUACCACAUAAUCCGAGGAGUCAUAGACUACCAUAUUGAUCAAUAUUUUUCGAAGUCCGAAGAGACAUGGUCUACCAUUUUGACUUUUACUUUUUGUUUUCAAGAUCAGAGGAGAUAAAGUCUACCAUUUUGAUAUUUUCUUAUUUCAAGGUCCGAGGAGACUUAAUCUACCAUUUUUGACAUUUUCUUUUUAUUUACGGAAGCAAAGCCUUCCACGUAACCCUUUUUUUUCAAUUCAUGGAGGCAAAGCCUACCAUGGUUUCCCUGAUCGUGAAGGUAUAGCCUACCAUAACGAUCAGUCGGGGAAACCAACGCCUAUCAUCCCGAAAAAUAAACUGAGAAGACCUAGUCUCUCACUCUGGAACAAUAAUAAAAUUUAAAUGAAUUAAAUAUAUUGAAACACAUAAAUUUAAACAUUACCUCGGCUGGUUUAAGAUCUUUCGGAUUGAUAAACCUCGGUUGUUCAGAGCUUCGUGCUGAUAACGUGUUGUGAAUUAGAUGAGAUAAGGAAAUAUUUAUGUUUAUUUAUAAGUGUUAAUAUAUUAGUAUAUUGUUCUUUAUGUGUUUGGAAAGUAACAAAAGAAAUGUGAGAUAAUGAACACAAAUGACUUUGAUCUCUUGCUCUUAUUACUAUCACUUACAACAACAAAUGAACUCCUAUUUAUAGGAGUAGUAAGUCGGUAAAGUACACCGACGUAAGAAGAACACAAAUAUUUAUAUAGUAAGCUAAUGGGUAAUCACAAUCCAAAAUCAAUCUUAUCUUUUUGGAUCAUUAUCUUUAACAUAUAUGACUUUUUGAUAUUUUUUUUCUUUGUUUAUAAUUUUUCUAUUUUUUUGGGGGGUGGGGGGGUAAUGAUAUAAUAAACAGACCCUUCAAUUGAUUGCUUGACAAUUUUCUGGUCAUAACUUUGGUCUGUGAGUUUAGUGUAUACAACCAUUUCACAUUAAAACUACUCUAUUUAAAAGCACGGAUCAAAGGAACGACAUAAAAUUAAAACAUCAGCUAUAUGUAGCCUGAAAGCUUUCUUUGUUUCUUAAACUUAGCUUAACUUAAUUAGUAACAAGCAUAUAAAUGGUCAAGCUAACUGAGAGUAUCGAUGUUUCCACUGUCCACCAUCUCAAAAACUUCUCCAACGAUAUUAUUACAAGGCUGAGAACAAAAAUUUCCACCCUCUUACAUUCAUUUUGCAACUUAUAUGAAUCACCCAUUCCCUUUUACAAAGUACACCUAGAAAGCGUUGAUGUGUCCAGUCGUGUCCAUGUGCAUCUUUCAGAAUAUAGCUUUGAACUCCAUCACCAUAUAAUUACCCAUGCUAAAUCGAUCGAAGGUUCAACAUCAACGCCUAAACUUACGUUUUAAGAAAUUUCGAAACACCACAAAAGAACCCAUGCUAAAUCGCUCGAAACUUCAACACCACCGCCUAAAGUGAAGUUUUGAGGAACUUCGAGUCACCACAAAAUAACCAGCUGUUGUUUCCUUUUGUGUUUCAACUUUUCAAUCGAUAUAUAUUUACCGAGGAUUCAUGAGACUCAUUCUUUUUUUUGUUAACACUGGAUUUUUAUUGAAUUUGGAGAAACAUACCUGCAAAUUACAAACAAAAGAUAAGACAAUGAUAAGCAUAAAUGAUCACAAUGAUCUUACCUAUCCCCUAUUCUAGGCCGGAAAACCUGAGAAACAAUGAAAAUUGCCCUGUCCAAAGUUGAAUUUACUUCACACUGUUGCUCUACUUUUAUCCACACUAGCAGCUGGAGAAGAGCGCAGCUUGUAAUGAAGGAAACUCGUGGCCAGAAACACGUCGUGAUCCCGAAAAGAUUAGUCUUCUCUUUUGACAUUGACACCAAUCUAUAAGAUAAGAAAAUUGUUGAACCCAACACCACAGACCCGAUGUCCGAAGAUGUUCCUGGGAUGGCACAACAAUUGACAUGUCCACGUACGCGAAGGGUACUUCAGCUUUGAAUGACCAACCAAACUGAAAUACUCAUUCCGUGACUCGUUCUUGAAAACCAUGAAGCGAUUCAUAACUUUUAGUAAUAUGAAAACAAACGGCGAAGAACGUUGAAACAAUCAAUUUGAUAUGGAUGUCAUGUCUCCCUUAUCUUUGAUUCCAAGAACCACACACACAGAGCAAUUGGCAGAUGGGACUUCGCUGCCACUCUAAUACCUGCAAAAGAGAAACAAAAGAGUUUCUCCCAUCAGCGAGAAGGACCACAGCCUGAUCGAUGAUGCUGGGAUGGCUCCACCCUUAAAAUGCGCCACCACUAGAUAGAUCCGACACUUAAUGACCAAAAGAGUCGGUGACUUUUUACGAGAUUCGUCAACGGAGAACCGAAGAAACGAAGCUUCUCUUAUUUGCCAAAUCCACAGCCGAGUGAUGAUUCGGAUGUGUACAAAUCUACAAGGCCCUUGAAGCAAGUACUAGUGACAGGUCCAAACCAACCAAAGAGACUCUCUACAAAGACGGGAUGGGUCUACAAACUCCAAAACCAAACACCAAAUCCAGUGAAAACCUAGAAAAAAGAUCUGAAGCCGCAGAUGCCUUCAUGCAUGUCUCGUCGUUACUCCAUUACCUCUCGAACGCCUCCUAUACACCGAACAAAGACGUCAUCGUCGAGACAGCAGAGCAAGCAAACAUAUUGACAGGGGAAGGAGAAGAGGCUUGAGAGAUAAAAAAAAAAAGGAAAGCACAAAAUUUAAGAGAGAGGGGCCACCGGCACCGGGCACCGGCACGACGGCCGGAUACCGGUGAAGGAUUGAGAUUAGGUUGACUGCAAGGAGGAGGCGGCUAGGGUGGCCAGUAUGCAAGGAGACUCAUUCUUUGUGUAUGGCAUUGUUGGAAUAAUGGCCAUAUUAGAAGAGAUCGAAUAAUACAGAUCUCAAUUGCUGGAGAAGAUAAUUAAAAAUCAUUUAUUGGUGAUUCCCAUUAUUAUAGAAUUAAUCAUAGUUGAAGAAAUUAUGGAGUAUCUCCUUUAUCCUUGAAUCAGUAUUGAGAAUUCUAAUGCAAAAUCUUAGCAAGAAAUAGCUUAAGAGAAAAUCUAAGUAAUGCAUACACAUGAACUCAGUGAUCAAAAAGAACAAAGUAACACUGAAGAACAUCAAGGUACACAAUAUGUGUUCUCAGAAAAGAACAACAGAAAAAUGCAAAAACAUAAAAGAAUCACUAAAUAGCAUUGAGCAUCGAAGGUGGGUGACCUACAAAGAAAAGAAGCUUUCGAUGUGAUUUGGGAAAACAUGCAUGGUGAACGUGUCGUUGCUAGCAAGUCCACAGCGGCGUCCAAAGUCAUCCAAAUUCUUUCAAAGAAUACUUUUGUAGUACUGUUUCUCCUCGGAUCAAAAAAUAGAAUAUAAGAAGCUUGAUAGAAACCAUACGGAGCAAAAAUAAACUCACCAGCAUCUGUAGUACCGCUGAAAUAUAUAGAAUCCCUCCGUACACGAAGAACAAAGCGUUUCCAUUCGUGUCCAUGUGCGUCUUCCAAAAUAUAGAGUUUAACAACAUCAAAGGGAUGAUCAUGAGUAACUAAGGCUACCCUUCCCUCAUAAGGUAUAAAAAAAAGGGGCCUAAAUGGACCCUUAUCCGGAAACUUUAUAGGAUUGAAGUUCAGAUUUCGCAUCAAAGCUCAUUAUGAUAUCUUGAUCAUCACCAAGAAGACGAGCUUCAUAAUAUAUAAAUCCAUUGAAGCAUCGCCCACGUGUUCCAGUUGGGCGAUGGACAGGGCAACGUCCUUUGGUUAUAUGUCUCCAUGAUUCUUGAAUACCCAAUGUAAGAACCCGCGACUGAUCGUUAUAUUCUUCAGAUGGUACACAAAGUACUUUGUGUUUACCUUCAGUGGAUCGUAUCCUAAUAAGUAAGACCAAUCGUUUGGACUCGAGCUGUGUUUACCAAGAUGUGGUAAGGCUAAAAACCGUCUCAAGGUUGGGUUCCAAAUCUUGAAUGCAGAUGUUAAAAUCAAUCCCUGGAUGCUCGUGGAUCGCCAAUAUUGCCAAUCUAAGUUUGUUAUUUCAUAACUGUAUAAUGGAGAAUAAGUUGACCUGUCAGGAAUCUGAUGUGAAGGAAAGAAUAAUACAUAUUUUGCGGAAUCUGAUGAGAAGGUCACCAUAAGAGUCGGUGAUCGUGAAGUGGACCGAGUCGAGAAUGUGCUGAUAAAACUAGGUAAGUGUUAUAGAAGAAGACCACAGCUUUGAAAGACAUCGAUAUCUCAUGAUUGAUUUUGCAGGAAGCCUUGAGAGUAUCUCCAAGGCUAGAUCAAGAGGAAUAUGGUUUGGUUGUGAUCUUUCAUCUCUGGAUCUCUCUCGUCUUCUCCUCUUGUUCAUCCAUGGCUGAUUGCUCAACAAUACUUUCUUCUUAAAAAUCCUCAUUCUUAAUUUCCUCCAGUUAUAUUCCCUCUUUAGGGUUCCAUAUAUAUACGCUUAAUAUAAAUUAUACAUCGUAUUUGUAUUUAAAUAAAUUAUAUAAAGCUUGGUUGCUAAUUAAUUUUCUCUCUUAAAAAAUGUAAAACCAAAAAAAUAUUUACUAAUUAACAUGAUUGGAACAUACGACGAUAAAAAUUCAAAAUUAUGACAUAUGUUAAAAAAAUCUCUAAACUAUAUAAUAAUAUAAUAGUAAUUUACCUUUUAAAACAUCCUAAACCAAAAAUUAAGAUUUGAUUCCUUAUAAAUAAUAGUCAGUUUAAUUAUAUUUUAUCUUUGACUGAACGUUAAUGUUAAUUAUAUUGCAAAAAUUACUUAAUUUUUUUUUAAGAAUACAGAUCAAUUUAUAUUGCAUGCUUAUUCGCUUAGGAACUGCACCAUGAAAGAUACCGACAAUGGUCUUAGAAUCAAGAGUUGGGGUGGUUCGUCUCCAAGCACGGCUGUGGUCCUGUGGACAUCACCUAUGAAGAUAUUAUGAUGACAAACGUCAAUAACCCAAUCAUCAUUGACCAAAAAUACGACUCAAGAGUCGGAGUAAGUAUAUAUACCAGAGAAAAUCUCAAACCAAAAUAGAGAUUUAGUAUAAUUACUGUUCUUCCGCUAGUUAUCUUCUUCGUUCUUCUGUAAAAACUUAAAAAUUUGGUAUAAUAAAUUUAACAUUUUACCAAAAAAAAAAAAAAAUCUCAAACCAAAAUCGGCGUCAAGAGGUUUCAUCGGAGAUCUUUGUGACAACGCAAAUGUUGUCUUCGUAUAUUUUGUUUCUAACUGUUAUUUUAGUAUCAUAUUUCGACUGAUAUAAAUUAAUAAUUUAAAUAAAAGAAUAAUAUAUUUGAUUUAGUAUAAAAAUUUUGAACAUAAAUAUUUAAAAUGGAUAAAACUAAAACUUAAACAAAAAGUAAAUAUGUGCUUUCAUAAUAUCAAGAACAUGUUUAUUAUUUUGUAUUUGGUAUCAACUCUCAUAUUUAGUCUAAUUUGGAUAUAAACCUAAAUCUUUCAAAAUAAAAGAAUAUCACUAUUAACUUGUGUGUAUACUUCUUUUUGAAGGUUUGUAGUUCGAAUAUAUCACUUUGAUUUAUAAAUUUCAUCCCAUAUAUUGUGUAAUAUUUCUAUAUUUACUAUAAAAAAGCUCGUGUAUCUCUCACAAAAAUUAUUUUGUUAUGACUUGUCAAUGCCACACUCUCUCUUGCUCUAUUUCCGCAACCUCUUAUCUUCAAUAUCUUUGUCGUGGAAACUUUGAUUAUUUACAUUAUAUUAGUUUGCACAUUUCAUUAUAUCUUCCAUAUUUCACUGUAACUUGUAAUAUGGAAAAUAUGCAAACUGAUAUAAUGUAAAUAAUUAAAGUUUUUAUCUAAAGGAAAUCAAUAUCUAAAUAUUUAUUUUUGUAACUUGAUAUAUAUACAACUAUUUUAGAUAGAAUAGACAAACUUGAAAUAAUUUAGAAUUGCUGUAAAGUUGUUCUCUAUCUUGUAUAUUUAACAAAUUCACUUUUUAUUUGUUAUAUAAAAUCAAUUCAUAUAUUUUAAAGUUGUUAUUUAUUUAUUAUAUUUAAUUUAUAUAUAAAUGUUUUAUAACGGUUUAAAAGGUAAAGAUUGAUAAAAGAACACUUAUUAUUUUCUUUUCUAUAGCACAAAACUGUUUUUUAAAAGAUAAGGGUUUCGUCUCUCUUGAUUAUAAUUGCAUAAUGUGUUGUGAAUUUGUGCUGAGAGUUUUCAUACUGUUUUGAAUGCGAAGAUUUUAACAUGGCAAAUCAAAAUUCAGAAUUAAAAAGCUACAAAAACUUCUAAUAGCUUCCUUUUGUUAUUUCCGUAGAGUAUAAAAAUGAUAAUUCUUAUCCAACACGUUUAGCUGACUAAUAUAAACAAAUACCCAGAGUCAAGCUUUUAGGCUGCAAACAUUUCCUCUGUACUUCAAGUGAGACACGACCACACUUGUGAUGGUCAGAAAACGACAACUGAACAUCCCACUGGAUGAGACCAAUCAUCGAAACAAAAGAUCUAACGUUGGAAAGUGUGGCUUGUGCUUGGUGAUAUCAAACUGAGUUAUGCCAAAAGCAUCCUUGAUGUUAAUAUCGAUCAAUUUCACAGCAUAUAAACAAACUCCAAAGUAACAUUCCCCGGGAUUGCCAAGUGAUAGGCCGUCUGUUCCUUCAUGUUUCUAUAGUUCACAACAUCUCCGGAGGACUUCGAGGCGGCAUAUGUGAUAGGAAAGUUCGUGAUCUCAAUUUAAAGAUUAGUCUUCUCUUUUGACAUUGACACCAAUCUGCUAAGAUAAGAAAAUUGUUGAACCCAACACCACAGACCCGAUGUCCGAAGAUGUUCCUGGGAUGGCACAACAAUUGACAUGUCCACACGAAGGGUACUUCAGCUUUUAAUGACCAACCAAACUGAAAUACUCAUUCCAUGACUCGUUCUUGAAAACCAAGAAGCGAUUCUUAACUUUCAGUGAUAUGAAAACAAACGGCGAAGAACUUUGAAACAAUCAAUUUGAUAUGGAUGUCAUGUCUCCCUUAUCUUUGAUUCCAAGAACCACACACACAGAGUAAUUGUCAUAUGGGACUUCGCUGCCACUCUAAUACCUGAAAAAGAGAAACAAAAGAGUUUCGUCCAUCAGCGAGAAGGACCACAGCCUGAUCGAUGAUGCUGGGAUGGCUCCACCCUUAAAACGCGCCACCACUAAAUAGAUCUCCGACACUAAUGACCAAAAGAGCUGGUGACUUUUUACGGGAUUCGUCAACGAGAACCAAAGAAACGAAACUUCUCUUAUUUACCAAAUCCACAGCCGAGUGAUGAUUUACAAAUCUACAAGGCCCUUGAAGCAAGUACUAGUGACAGAUCCAAACCAACCAAAGAGACUCUCUACAAAGACGGGAUGGGUCUACAAACUACAAACUCCAAAACCAAACACCAAAUCCAGUGAAAACCUAGAAAAAAGAUCUGAAGCCGCUGAUGCCUUCAUGCAUGUCUCGUCGUUACUCCAUUACCUCUCGAACGCCUCCUAUACACGGAACAAAGACGUCAUCGUCGAGACAGCAGAGCAAGCAAACAUAUUGACAGGGGAAGGAGAAGAGGCUUGAGAGAUAAACAAAAGCAAAGAACAAAAUUUAAGAGAGAGGGGCCAGUAUGCAAGGAGACUCAUUCUUUGUGUAUGGCAUUGUUGGAAUAAUGGCCAUAUUAGAAGAGAUCGAAUAAUACAGAUCUCAAUUGCUGGAGAAGAUAAUUAAAAAUCAUUUAUUGGUGAUUCCCAUUAUUAUAGAAUUAAUCAUAGUUGAAGAAAUUAUGGAGUAUCUCCUUUAUCCUUGAAUCAGUAUUGAGAAUUCUAAUGCAAAAUCUUAGCAAGAAAUAGCUUAAGAGAAAAUCUAAGUAAUGCAUACACAUGAACUCAGUGAUCAAAAAGAACAAAGUAACACUGAAGAACAUCAAGGUACACAAUAUGUGUUCUCAGAAAAGAACAACAGAAAAAUGCAAAAACAUAAAAGAAUCACUAAAUAGCAUUGAGCAUCGAAGGUGGGUGACCUACAAAGAAAAGAAGCUUUCGAUGUGAUUUGGGAAAACAUGCAUGGUGAACGUGUCGUUGCUAGCAAGUCCACAGCGGCGUCCAAAGUCAUCCAAAUUCUUUCAAAGAAUACUUUUGUAGUACUGUUUCUCCUCGGAUCAAAAAAUAGAAUAUAAGAAGCUUGAUAGAAACCAUACGGAGCAAAAAUAAACUCACCAGCAUCUGUAGUACCGCUGAAAUAUAUAGAAUCCCUCCGUACACGAAGAACAAAGCGUUUCCAUUCGUGUCCAUGUGCGUCUUCCAAAAUAUAGAGUUUAACAACAUCAAAGGGAUGAUCAUGAGUAACUAAGGCUACCCUUCCCUCAUAAGGUAUAAAAAAAAGGGGCCUAAAUGGACCCUUAUCCGGAAACUUUAUAGGAUUGAAGUUCAGAUUUCGCAUCAAAGCUCAUUAUGAUAUCUUGAUCAUCACCAAGAAGACGAGCUUCAUAAUAUAUAAAUCCAUUGAAGCAUCGGCCACGUGUUCCAGUUGGGCGAUGGACAGGGCAACGUCCUUUGGUUAUAUGUCUCCAUGAUUCUUGAAUACCCAAUGUAAGAACCCGCGACUGAUCGUUAUAUUCUUCAGAUGGUACACAAAGUACUUUGUGUUUACCUUCAGUGGAUCGUAUCCUAAUAAGUAAGACCAAUCGUUUGGACUCGAGCUGUGUUUACCAAGAUGUGGUAAGGCUAAAAACCGUCUCAAGGUUGGGUUCCAAAUCUUGAAUGCAGAUGUUAAAAUCAAUCCCUGGAUGCUCGUGGAUCGCCAAUAUUGCCAAUCUAAGUUUGUUAUUUCAUAACUGUAUAAUGGAGAAUAAGUUGACCUGUCAGGAAUCUGAUGUGAAGGAAAGAAUAAUACAUAUUUUGCGGAAUCUGAUGAGAAGGUCACCAUAAGAGUCGGUGAUCGUGAAGUGGACCGAGUCGAGAAUGUGCUGAUAAAACUAGGUAAGUGUUAUAGAAGAAGACCACAGCUUUGAAAGACAUCGAUAUCUCAUGAUUGAUUUUGCAGGAAGCCUUGAGAGUAUCUCCAAGGCUAGAUCAAGAGGAAUAUGGUUUGGUUGUGAUCUUUCAUCUCUGGAUCUCUCUCGUCUUCUCCUCUUGUUCAUCCAUGGCUGAUUGCUCAACAAUACUUUCUUCUUAAAAAUCCUCAUUCUUAAUUUCCUCCAGUUAUAUUCCCUCUUUAGGGUUCCAUAUAUAUACGCUUAAUAUAAAUUAUACAUCGUAUUUGUAUUUAAAUAAAUUAUAUAAAGCUUGGUUGCUAAUUAAUUUUCUCUCUUAAAAAAUGUAAAACCAAAAAAAUAUUUACUAAUUAACAUGAUUGGAACAUACGACGAUAAAAAUUCAAAAUUAUGACAUAUGUUAAAAAAAUCUCUAAACUAUAUAAUAAUAUAAUAGUAAUUUACCUUUUAAAACAUCCUAAACCAAAAAUUAAGAUUUGAUUCCUUAUAAAUAAUAGUCAGUUUAAUUAUAUUUUAUCUUUGACUGAACGUUAAUGUUAAUUAUAUUGCAAAAAUUACUUAAUUUUUUUUUAAGAAUACAGAUCAAUUUAUAUUGCAUGCUUAUUCGCUUAGGAACUGCACCAUGAAAGAUACCGACAAUGGUCUUAGAAUCAAGAGUUGGGGUGGUUCGUCUCCAAGCACGGCUGUGGUCCUGUGGACAUCACCUAUGAAGAUAUUAUGAUGACAAACGUCAAUAACCCAAUCAUCAUUGACCAAAAAUACGACUCA